GCAGGGAAAGCGACUCAAAAUGAAGAUAAGAGCUUGCAACCUGAGGUUAAAGCUGAGAAGGAAGUGGACAACACUGAAGAUAAACCAAAGGAUAAUUCACAAACUGGUAGUGGUGCAGUUGUACAAGGUACUAGUGUCAAAACUGCCAUAAAGAAGAAAAUAAUUAAGAGAGUACUUAAAAGAAAGCUUGCAGGUGUGGAGACCAGUGGUGGGGCCAAUGAGACUAAGAAGGAUGACAAAAUAGUAGCUCAGACAGGUAAUGGAACAGAAAAUAUGGAGAAAGAAAGAACAGAUGCAGAAAGCCAGAUGAAUGAGAUACAAAAUUCAGAAAAGAAAAUAAUUCCCAAGUCAAAAUCACCUACUGUGGAGAAGGAAGCUAGUGUGCCCAAUUCAAUUAAAACAGAAAUCAAAGCUGUCAAGGAGGAUAAGAAGAAUGACAAGGAAAUUGAUGGGAAAAGUGCCUCUGGGGCUAAAAUUGAGGGCAAGGAUGACAAGCAAAAAAUAGCUCAGAGGGAUAAUCAUGAUGGCAAGUAUAAAGGAAAGGAUGAUGAAAAAUCAAAGGAUGAAAAGAAGAAAAAGGAUGGAAAAGACGAGUCUAGGAGUAAAUCCAAUAAGGAUGCAAAAGAAAAGAGAAUGCCCGAAGAACCUCCUAGACAUCCUGGAUUGAUUCUGCAAACAAAAGGGGAUAAAGAAACUAAACUGCGGUCAUUGUCACUUUCACUUGACUC
RNAcentral lists this unclassified non-coding RNA (728 nucleotides) under Hevea brasiliensis (rubber tree). The record is from RNAcentral. Lineage: Eukaryota; Viridiplantae; Streptophyta; Magnoliopsida; Malpighiales; Euphorbiaceae.